CCCUUAGAUGUUCUGGGCCGCACGCGCGCUACACUGAUGCAUUCAACGAGUCCAACCUUGACCGAGAGGUCCGGGUAAUCUUUGAAACUGCAUCGUGAUGGGGCUAGAUUAUUGCAAUUAUUAAUCUUCAACGAGGAAUGCCUAGUAAGCGUGAUUCAUCAAAUCGCGUUGAUUACGGCCCUGCCCUUUGUACACACCGCCCGUCGCUCCUACCGAUUGAGUGUGUUGGUGAGGAGUUUGGAUUGGCCUCGGAAGGUGGUUCGCCACCGUCCGUAGCUGAGAAGUUCUCCAAACCGCCCCACUUAGAGGAAGGAGAAGUCGUAACA
This 326-nucleotide ribosomal RNA is filed under the name uncultured eukaryote. RNAcentral describes it as "partial 18S ribosomal RNA". It matches the Rfam family "Eukaryotic small subunit ribosomal RNA", at positions 1470 to 1796 of the family's 1831-position model. The record is from RNAcentral.